Molecule: ribosomal RNA, 483 nt
Filed under: uncultured soil bacterium
Lineage: Bacteria
Description: bacterial SSU rRNA
Rfam family: Bacterial small subunit ribosomal RNA
Source: RNAcentral
GCUGGCGGCGUGCUUUACACAUGCAAGUCGAGCGAGGCGGGUAGCAAUACCCAGUCGAGCGGCGAACGGGUGAGUAACGCGUGGAUAACCUGCCCUGAGGUGUGGAACAACCAGGGGAAACUCUGGCUAAUACCGCAUGAUACCGAGAGGUCAAAGGGGGCUCGCAAGGGCUCUCGCCACAGGAGGGGUCCGCGUCCGAUUAGCUAGUUGGUGGGGUAAUGGCCUACCAAGGCGACGAUCGGUAGCCGGCCUGAGAGGGUGAUCGGCCACACUGGAACUGAGACACGGUCCAGACUCCUACGGGAGGCAGCAGUGGGGAAUUUUGCGCAAUGGGCUAACGCCUGACGCAGCAACGCCGCGUGGAGGAUGAAGGUCUUUGGAUUGUAAACUCCUGUCAGCGGGGAAAAAGCGACCCGGCCUAAUACGCCCGGGGAGUUGAUUGUACCCGCAGAGGAAGCCCCGGCUAACUCUGUGCCAGCAGCC